AUCUAAUCGAUGAUAAAGAGAGUAAUUAUUCUUCGUUUGCUUCAGCGAGUCAGGGACGGUGGAAGCCUGGUGCAUCAGAGUAAUGAAGCGCACUUUUGAGAUGCUUGCCUGAAUGGAAGUAGGGUCGGCCGGGAAUUUCCCGUUAUCAAUGAAAGAAGGUUCCUUAGUGUGGAACAAUUUGAGUGGUACCGCGGGAUAACUCUCGUCUCUUAU
This 213-nucleotide non-coding RNA is filed under the name Mesobacillus selenatarsenatis. RNAcentral describes it as "Bacillus selenatarsenatis T-box sequence". It matches the Rfam family "T-box leader". Rfam says of the family: Uncharged tRNA acts as the effector for transcription antitermination of genes in the T-box leader family. T-boxes are found upstream of many aminoacyl-tRNA synthetase genes and some amino acid biosynthetic genes usually in Gram-positive bacteria. Lineage: Bacteria; Bacillati; Bacillota; Bacilli; Caryophanales; Bacillaceae. The record is from RNAcentral.